GACGGGGGCCCGCACAAGCGGAGGAACAUGUGGUUUAAUUCGAUGAUACGCGAGGAACCUUGCCUGGGCUUAAAUGGGGAGUGACAGCUGUCGAAAGAUGGUUUCUUCGGACACUCUUCAAGGUGCUGCAUGGUUGUCGUCAGCUCGUGCCGUGAGGUGCCGGGUUAAGUCCCAUAACGAGCGCAACCCUUACCGUUAGUUACCAUCAGGUUAAGCUGGGGACUCUAGCGGGACUGCCACCGUAAGGUGAGAGGAAGUGGGGAUGACGUCAAAUCAGCACGGCCCUUAUGUCCAGGGCUACACACGUGUUACAAUGGCCAGUACAAAGGGCAGCUACCGGGUGACCGGAUGCUAAUCUCUAAAGCUGGUCUCAGUUCGGAUCGAAGUCUGCAACCCGACUUCGUGAAGCUGGAUUCGCUAAUAAUCGCGCAUCAGCCAUGGCGCGGUGAAUACGUUCCCGGGCCUU
RNAcentral lists this ribosomal RNA (466 nucleotides) under uncultured Sphingobacteriales bacterium. Its description in RNAcentral is "bacterial SSU rRNA". It matches the Rfam family "Bacterial small subunit ribosomal RNA", at positions 912 to 1382 of the family's 1533-position model. The record is from RNAcentral. Lineage: Bacteria; Pseudomonadati; Bacteroidota; Sphingobacteriia; Sphingobacteriales.